CAUUCCAUUCUCAUUGUCACCAAGGGAGGGGUUAAGAGAACCAGAGUGCCUCCUCCCAAUGACAGCAGUGAGGCCAGGACCGGUAGUCCUUUGAAGGUUAAGCAUAUCUCCUUCAAAACAGGUGACGAGCUCAUCUUCUUGGACCCUCACACAACCCAGACCUUUGUCGACACUGAAGAGAAUGGAACGGUUAAUGACCAGACUUUCCAUUGCCUGCAGUCCCCACAGCGAAUGAACAUCCUGAACCUGGAUCCUUCAGUUGCAUUGGGAUUUUUCUGCAAAGAAGAAAAAGACUUUGAUAACUGGUGUAGCCUUGUUCAGAAGGUAAAGCUAUAUGUUUUUCUUAGUCUGAAAAAUGAAGUUACUCUAUUUUAUUCCUUUUCAAGAUUGUUUUUCAUGGUAAAAAAAUCCUACUCUGAUACGACUUUACUGCAAGAGAAAGAAACUAAGGCAACAAAGAAACUAUCAGGAAAUUCUAAAGGAGAAUUUAAGGAUGUUUGA
Molecule: small RNA, 501 nt
Filed under: Pongo abelii (Sumatran orangutan)
Lineage: Eukaryota; Metazoa; Chordata; Mammalia; Primates; Hominidae
Description: processed transcript
Source: RNAcentral